GACGAACGCUGGCGGCGUGCUUAACACAUGCAAGUCGAACGGAAAGGCCUCUUUCGGGGGGUACUCGAGUGGCGAACGGGUGAGUAACACGUGAGUAACCUGCCCUUUACUUUGGGAUAACUUCAGGAAACUGGGGCUAAUACCUACUAGGUACUCAUGCUGCAUGGUGGGGGUUGGACAGUUUCGGCGGUUGGGGGUGGACUGGCGGCUUAUCAGCUUGUUGGGGGAGUAGUGGCUUACCAAGGCUUUGACGGGUAGCCGGCCUGAGGGGGUGACCGGCGACAUUGGGACUGAGGGACGGAACAGACGGCGACGGGAGGCAACAGGGGGGAAUAUUGCACAAUGGGUGGAAGCCUGAGGCAGAAGCGCCGGGUGCGGGAAGAUGGCUUUGGAGUGGAAAACCGGUUUCGCUCUAGACGAAGCUUUGAGUGACGGUAGUGGGUAAAGAAGCACCGGCUAACUACGUG
RNAcentral lists this ribosomal RNA (467 nucleotides) under uncultured bacterium. RNAcentral's name for it is "partial 16S ribosomal RNA". It matches the Rfam family "Bacterial small subunit ribosomal RNA", at positions 28 to 507 of the family's 1533-position model. The record is from RNAcentral.